This is a non-coding RNA of Nicotiana tabacum (common tobacco), 3978 nucleotides long. The record is from RefSeq and is a predicted model, not a curated record. Lineage: Eukaryota; Viridiplantae; Streptophyta; Magnoliopsida; Solanales; Solanaceae.
CUUAUCUCUUCCUAAAUUUUGUGCCCAGUCAAAUGGGUUCACAAAAUUGAUAAAACGGAGGGAGUAUUUUCUUGGACACUUAACACGUGGACCUAAUUGUCUUUGCCAGCAAACCACAUGUAACCCACUUCAUAUAUAUUAUCUAACUCUAAAUUCUAAAAGCUAAUAAUACAAAGCAAAAAAAUUGGUGUCUCUCCUGAUAGCAACCAUUCUCAGUUUGAGUCAGCUUCUUGCUCUCUUCUGUGAUUUCGAAGUGUGCUUCUCUUCCGCGAGUUUCUCAGCCUUCCUUCUAUUUUUUACUCUUUCAGUAUUGAUCACUAUGGUAUUUCUAUUGAUAGUGAUAAAAUUCCCCUUUCUCCUUUAUUCUUUCAAUGUCAGAUCUCUUUAAUUUUUGUAUGGUGGUUGUGAUGGUGUUCUGCUCUAUGUCAAUUUUUGGGUUUGCAUAGGUAAUUUUAUUUAUGAAUCUAAGACUUUGAUCUCUAAAAAUUAGGUUUUUAUAUUUUCUUUUAUUUCACAAUCUUUCUCUUUGGUGAGUAUAUGUUCAAACUUUUUCCUGGGUUAUUUAAUGUUGGAUUUUCAACUUGCAUGUUCAUAUUUAUUGUUUAAUUUGCAUGUUUGGAAAUUGAUACCUAGGUGCAUGAUUAGGAUUUAUUUUUUUACUCUACAAGAUUCUAAUUCGUGAAUGAAGCUCAAAUCAACUUUUUCGCAUUUAAAGGGUCAAAUUCCUGUUUGCAAAAGGGUGUAAUACUAAUUUCCCUUACUAGUUGAUCUUAUUGUUUAUUUUGUUUCCCUUUUUUCUUUCUGUCACUUAUUUUUUCCCACUUUUCGUCUCUGUUGGCUGCUUCUCGUAACUAUUCUUUUUUAUUUUGGGCAUAAUUUUGGAAUUUCAUAGUUCUUGAUCUUUGAACUAAUGUUUUUGAAGUAUCUUAGGACUUUUCAGGGUUUCCUGAUGUUUGUUUGAUUCUUUUAUUAUUCUUUUUUUCCUGCGUUCAUAUCCAAAUAUUCAAGUAAUAAAAUAAUUAAAAUUGUGGAUUAUUUGCCAUUUGAGAAGUUGAAAGCACAUGUACAUAGAAGUUGUUGCAUGUGUGGUUCUAAUGAGCUUACUGUCUUUGUUGCUAAUUUUAUUUCUGUUCUGAUUCUUUUAAUGUUUGUACUAUGUGCUUCUCUUGAGAAUUGUUACCUCAUUUUUUAGGAGAAUUCUUACAGGUUUCCUGCGUUCUUCUUUCUUCUUUUUUCCUUCUUUCUUUAUUUUUUUUUCUAAUUUACGCACUCAAGGGACAGGAAAAUGUUAUUGUAUAUGAACUUGGCCAUCUAAGUGUAGUAGUGUAUAGUGUUGCCUCUUUCGUAAUUUGUCCCAUCUCUUUUUCUUACUUUUUAUCUUUGUUGGUUGCAUCUCACUACUGUUUUCCUCUUGCAGAGGGGUUUUAGCAGAAAUUAGGAUUUCGGUUGUUCUUGGUCUUUGAACUGAUCCUUUUAAAGAGUCUUUGGGACUUUCCAAGGUUUUCUACUGUUCUGAUUUUUUUUAUAACUUCUGUAAUGAGGUUGGUUGAACUUCUUCGCUUUGACUUUUAAUGAGUUUCUAUUAUGUGCUUCCCUUUUGCAUAGGAUUAUUUACAUUGUACAACAACUUCUAAUCUUGAGAUUAGUUGGACUAAACUCCAUAGUGAAAAUUGCCUACUUCCCAGUUAAAUUACAUAAAAGUAGCGGAAAAGGAGAUAGUUAUAGUUUGUUUAAAGAAAAGUGUUAGACCUUUUGUCUUAGACUGAGAGUAUUUCACUGCCUUCCCAAAAUGCAAAUAAAGAAGUUAAUUUCUAGAGUUGAUUUUGUGUUUUGCUAUUUUGACUUGAUAUAUGUAUUUGGUUGUUUGUUCUGUUACUAUUGUAGUGUAUGUGGACUUCUUCUUUUUAUCUUCUUUUUUCUUUUUUAAUUUAUGCACUCAAAAGACAUGGAGGUGUAGUUGUUUAUGUACUUGACCGUAUGUUAACUUGAGCUAUCUGUUUUUUGAGUUAUUUGUGCAAUUUCUAUUUUCCAUUGCACUUUUAUUUGUAGUCAGAUUUUUUGUUCUUUUUGAAUAAUAACUUGCUAAAAAUUUUACUUGAUGUUCCACAUUUUUGCAAUUCUUAUGAUUUUCUGAUGAAUUUUGUCGUUGUUACCAAGAUAUCAUGGCAUUAAGAGGAAAUAUCAAUCAAAUAACACCUGAUACACCCGAUUGGACAUGUAAAGUCCAAAUUGUGGAAAUAGGUCGAGAAAGAGAAACUGAGAAAAAAUUUAGAUAUCAGAAUCUGAUUCUAGAAGAUGAAGAGGUAAUUUUGUCUAUCUUUUAUAUAAUAUAAUCAACUUCUUAUAAUUAUAAUAUUCUAACUGCUUCUACGACAAAGUGACACUUUACAGGAACAACAAAUUAGAGGAGUCGUGUGGGGAGAUGACAUUCAAUAUUAUGCAGACAAGCUUAAGCUCUUCCACACAUAUCUCAUCUCCACUGCAAGAGUUAAAAUUUCAUCCACACAGUAUGGAAGACCCUUACAUAAAUUUUAUUGGGUGCUUGACAAAGAAACUAUAGUAGAACUGGUCGAAAAAAAUGGUGAGAGAGAGAUACCAAAGCCACCACCCCGCAAGCCGAAUCUCACUGAUUUUGACCAUAUUGCUCAUAUAACCCCUGAUCCUGCUACAGAAAUUGAUAUACUAGCAGUCGUUGUCCAUUGUGGCCCUCCAAAAUAUGCAGGUCGAGUUCCAAAUAGGUGUCGCGAGAUUAUUGUCACCGACAAUCAAAAAAACGACUUCUACUAACCUUAUGGGAGGACUUCUCAGAAGUUGAAGGAACCAAAAUCCAGCAAAAAAUCGAGUCGAAAGUGAACGGCGAUGAAAGAUAUCCGGUAAUCCUUGGGAGGAGUAUCGGAAUAUCUCCGUAUAACGGGCAAAAGAAAACAACGACAUGCUCGGCGGUUGUGCAUCAGACAACUUCUCAAGGUCACCAAGGUCAUCCACCUCUCUCAUGGUGAUUCCUACCCAACAACAAAUUAUUCCCAUUGCAGAAAUUCAGUCACAAACUUCCAAGUUUUGUGUGCUUGAAUGCUCGGGUUGCAAAUAAAAGUUGCGAACAAAGGAAAGAAGAGAUUUUGACUGCACCAAGUGUAAACAACGGACAACUUUAGUUCCUCGAUGUAUGUUCCAGAUUGAUCUUAUUGAUGGUAGCGGUUCAACAGCUGCAAUAAUUUCUGGUGAUGUCGCUGAAAAGAUGCUCUCAAUGACAGCAGAAGACAUAUUUGACACAACCUGUGUCAAGAAACAACUCUUGUACCAUGUCCUGGACACAUUUUCAGACAGAAUUUUCCGAAUCCAAUUAAGAAAAUCAUCUUGGAAAAGUUCUUGACUUUGUGCGUACAAGUCUAUCGGUUUUGUCAUUCGUGGAAAAGGAGCAUAUCUUUGCACCAAUAAUUAGUGAGAGAAGCCAAAAAAAGAUAAAGCCUCUAUGUACAGAUGAGAUAGAAAUGGAAACAGCAGAUGUGAUCACUAAAUAUUCAAGCGCAGGGCUGAAACUAUAACCACCAACACCAUAAAAAAGUGUAAAAGGAAGUAUUAACCUUUUUUGGGAUCUUUUGCUACUGAAAAGAAAACCUUUUUUGGGCUCUUACAUGAAUGGUACAGUCUCACUCCACCUUUCCUACAAAGGAAUUUAGUCGUGGUGGUAAUCGAAUAUUAAAAACUAGGGAAGACGAUUGUGCUGGUUGUGAAAGUUUUUGACUGCCUCAAUGUUCCACAAAUACAGGAGCCGCAGAAUCUCCCUAUGUUGUGAUUUUUGGAAUGGAAAAAGUUUGAAAAAGUUGGCUACUAUGGUUGGGAGCAUAGCUCCAGCACAUGUUGUACUGAAGAUACAAACUAUAUAUGUACUCUUUUGGUGUAUGGUGUAUAUAAUAUUUAAAUAUGGAUGGUUCCACUAGACAGUGUACUUAUGGUAUAUAAAAGGAUGUUUGUUAAGCA